Molecule: ribosomal RNA, 253 nt
Filed under: uncultured bacterium
Lineage: Bacteria
Description: partial 16S ribosomal RNA
Rfam family: Bacterial small subunit ribosomal RNA
Source: RNAcentral
UACGGAGGGUGCAAGCGUUAUCCGGAUUUACUGGGUUUAAAGGGAGCGCAGGCGGAUUAGUAAGUCAGUGGUGAAAGCCUUGAGCUUAACUCGAGAACUGCCAUUGAUACUAUUAGUCUUGAAUGUUGUUGAGGUUUGCGGAAUGGGUCAUGUAGCGGUGAAAUGCAUAGAUAUGACAUAGAACACCAAUUGCGAAGGCAGCUUACUACGGGGUUAUUGACACUGAGGCACGAAAGCGUGGGGAUCAAACAGG